GAGGAAAGAAAAUCCUACUAGACUUAUGAGGUGGAGGAGGAGAUGCGUAGAUUAGCUCUAACUAAAUUGGUUCCAUAGGUUCCAAGACUCAUUACUCUUCAAAAAUUUUCUCCUUGAGCCCAAAUCUAUCUUCCCAUGCCUCCAUCUUGAAUAAAUUAUUUUUCAAAAAAGACUGUAUGUUGACUCAUAAUCACAUUAUGAUCUUUUAGAAGAUAGAAAUAAUAUCCUAAAGACUCCUUAGUAUAUCCAGUAAAAUAAACCUUAAGGGACCUUGUAUCUAACUUGUCCAUCUGUUAUUUUUUGAUAUGGACUGGACAACCCCAAAUC
Molecule: long non-coding RNA, 327 nt
Filed under: Elaeis guineensis (African oil palm)
Lineage: Eukaryota; Viridiplantae; Streptophyta; Magnoliopsida; Arecales; Arecaceae
Description: long non-coding RNA (EGUI_LNC001838)
Source: RNAcentral